UUACCUCCUCAGCAAACCUGGCUUGUUUUGAAGUCAUGGAAGGCAUUUUUUGAAGACAAAAACCUUGUGUCUGAGCUUUGAACUCAGUGAUGUUUGCCAUGAUUUCUAGAAUCUCUCUACCUUGAGUUUUGGUGCAAAAUUUCACCGGGGAACUGAAUAUUGAGCAACAAUACAUAGACAAUAACACCAGCUAUUGCCAGACAAGAUAUUGCAGCGAUGCCAUAAAGUCCUUCUCCAGUUCCUGCUUUCCUGAUCCGCUUGGCACCAAAUGGUAACUGGACUUCUCCUUAUUAUCAUAAAAACCAGGGGGGUUUCUUCUUGCUGUUACUUGUUUUGUCAAAGAUCCAGUGAUUGGUAACAUGUGAAUUAACAUUUUGCAGGACGAGCAGAGCAGAGCCUGCAAACAGCGAUGAGAAGUGAGACUCUGAAAAGCCAUGGUAGCAUUUACAUCUCUGGCAAGAAUCAGGGCUGGAAAACCACAAUCUUUAGGAAGCAGUGGAUUUACACAUCAAAUACCUUACAUUUCUCCUGCUGGUCUCCGACCAUUAUCCUCUGCUCUCAGUAGAACAGUGUAUUUAACGGCUUCAUUAAUGCCAGAGUGAAAAUUAUCUACUGCUGGAGUGACUGUCGUGUGGGGAAUUUUUACACCAGAACUGGAGCAGCAUUCUGAUCCUUCAGUACUUGGGAGCAACGUUUGUAAAGGUACAAAAUUAGUGAAAAAAAAAAAAAUAUGAUGAUUUAAAAAGAUUAUCUGAAUUUAAAGCAAAACCAAUAUAUUAAGAAAGAGAAAAUGGCUGCAGAACAGGUAGAUUACCCAGAAUCUACUCAGAACAACAGUUUCACCCUUUGCAGAAAAGACUAAGGCAAAAGUGCAGGCUGGUGGCUGGGCUGAGUAAUUAAUCCACAGAGAAUGCCUUACCCAAUUAAUACAUGUUGUCUGGACAUAGAUUCGAAUUAUAGCAGUAUUUGAAAUGAUGUCUUUUCAUUUCUUUCCUCGCUACAACGCGAUUGUAAUUGAUCUGCUGGGAAUUUUUUUCAGGGCAAUAUUCAG
This 1051-nucleotide long non-coding RNA is filed under the name Calidris pugnax (ruff). Its description in RNAcentral is "lncRNA (ENSCPUG00000015102.1)". The record is from RNAcentral. Lineage: Eukaryota; Metazoa; Chordata; Aves; Charadriiformes; Scolopacidae.